UUGUGCUUACCUAGCAUCCACUACUGAGAGCAAAGUGCCUUUCGUCAAUUCGUCUUCUCUGGAUGCUCUUUCUUUAGAGAUACUACUUGCUGUCUUGCUCUUUGCCGUUGCCUGCGACAGCAAACAACCAGGGCCAAUACCCAUCAUUUCUUCAUAGGAGCCGUGAUUUGUGAAGUUUUGGCGUGUGGCACUUGCAAAAGGAAAGGAGAGAGGCAGCUGAAAAGGGGCAAUGGCGCUGUGCAAACUUGCAGCAUCCGUCAAUGCUGGCAGACGGUUCUGAAGAAGAGCACUGAUGCCGAGAAACACGGAAGGGGCGCGACACCGACUACGAGCUGAAGCUUUGAAACAGGAAUCAAUUGCACCUGAAGGCUUAAGUGAAUGACAACGUGCUGCACACUGUUGGGUCUUCGCUCCGAAGCUGCGGCCUAUGGUCUGUAGGGAUGAAAACGGUUUCGGAAUUUUUCGGUAUUUCGGAAACCAAUUUCGAAAUUUUUCGAUCGGAUUCACCGGUAACGGUAUUUUUCGAAAACGGAAUCGGUUUUCGGAAUUUUCUGUCGGAAUCGGUAUCGGAAUCGGAAUCGGCGUGUUGUUUUACCGACCGUUUCCUUCGGUUACCGGUUUUUGUCGGAAAUUACUGGAUUUGUGUCUCGGAAUUUUCCGGAAUUGUGUCUCGGAUUUUUUUUUCGGAAUUUUCCAGCAUGUGAUUUUUUCGCAUCGUCUGUACGUCUCUGGAUAAGGAUUACUUUUUUUGUAUUUUUUGGACGCCUUAAGAUUUUUUUAGGAUAGAUGGUGUUGGAAGGCAGUUGAGAUUAACAAUUUGGUCUCUCGAACGAAUCCACCCUUUUCUAAGCACAUGUUAUGUAUUAGUAAUAUAUAAUGAUAAAGAGCUGACAGCCUGUCUUUUCCACACACUAGAUUUUAGGAUUUUCCUGUGAUGAUGUAAAAAAACUCUUUAUGUGAGGAAAAAAUAUUUCAUGAGUAA
Long non-coding RNA from Zea mays, 982 nucleotides. RefSeq lists it as uncharacterized. Lineage: Eukaryota; Viridiplantae; Streptophyta; Magnoliopsida; Poales; Poaceae. The transcript has 2 exons. The record is from RefSeq and is a predicted model, not a curated record.